CUCUCCAAGCUGCUCCGAGGGGAAUGGGGAAUCGGCAGGAAAUGACCCGAACUGCCAGCCUGCGCCUUUGCAGCCGGCCCUCGCUUUGCUGAAGACGAGCAGCUCCCACCAAAGUCUUGCCUCCCCUUACCCCGAAAGCCCCGCUCAGUUCAAUAUUUCAAGUGAAAAUCUGCCUGUUCGAAAAGAAAAUAUUCACAAAUGAGCAGUGUAUUAGAAGACAACUGAAUUGCUUCUAAGAAUGGGUCUCACUCUGCCAUCACCCAGGCUGGAGUGUGGUGGCACCAUCAUGGCUCACUGCAGCCUUGAACUCCUGAGCUCAAGUCAUCCUCCCACCUCAGCCUUCCGAGUAGCUGGAACUGCAGCCAACAUGUCCAUUUCCACCCUCCACCCUCAUUCUCACAUUAAGCUAUGGAGAGGGGGAAUAUUUGUACUUUUUUCAUGGUCUUCCAAAGGAUGGACAUACUACUGCCACGAGAGAAAUUGCUGGUCAGAGAGAAGCAAUUCCUUAGAGAAAGCAACCCACAUAUCAUCACCCAAGAGAGCUGAACCAUUGCCAACAUCUCCAUCAGGAACUUGGAAGAGUUUUCUGUCUUCCCAACACAAUAAAACUGGAGACACGAGCAUGCAGAGCUCCAGCCAGCACAAUUACAUAAAGCCAAAGCACAUUAUCACUUGCAGGCUGCAGGAUUUAUGGCCAACUAUGAUGGAAAAUACAGAGAUACUUUACUUGUCUGAAUUCAACACUCAAAAAAGAUAGUAUGUAUUAUAUUAAUGAUAGAGAAAAGUUGUAUAUAUUGUACUUUUUCUAAUGAAAACCUUAGUAAACAGAGCAGAAACAGAUGCCAGCAUCUUAGAGAAGAAAGAAAAAUGGAAAAGAUUGCCAGUUUGCUCCUCUUCAGACAAUAUGCAAUUGCUGUUCUUGUUGAAAAAUUCCUUUCAAAUGCAUUGAGGCAGCAUUUCUAUUUUGGUGGUUUUCUGCAUUUGAGUUGCUGCUUCUAACUUGAGUGGAACAGAGAAGUUUGUAUUCUCUAUGGGUGUCUGCUGUUCCAAGUAUGAAGCAGUGAAGCUAAAAUCACUUUACUUCUAGAAACCUGUGAUUUCCAUUUGCCAUGAGGUUAGCACUUCCUCUGGCAGUGCCUUUGCCACGAACUGUCAUAGAACCAUGCUGUUUAUCUAGCAUAGCAUUCUUCUUUAUCAUAGCUGCUUACCACUUGUUUCUGCUCUGGAAUGCACCCUGUACGUGCAGGUUAUGUGGUGUCCUGGCCCAGUGCUGGCACACGGUGAGCACUCACAAAAAUAUUGAAGAGCUCUCUUCAGGUUGUAAUUUUAUGUUACCAAUGUUUUUACACAGUUGGUUUGCAUUAUGAGUACACAGUGAGAAGGUAAACCAGUGUGCUGUUUGUCUAUCGUUUCCAAAUUUUGAAUUAUUUAAAUACAUGUUAGUGAAAUCACUGUUUAUCAGAACCAAAAUUGCAAUCUUAAAACUUCUGCAAGAUAGAAAAGAUUGUUUAACAAAGGAAGGAAAAUAUUACAAAAACAGAUUUCUCUCUUAAUUUUGUCAGUGCUUGGACUUGGUCCCCAAAUCUUAAAAGUGAAUUUGUUUCCAGAACACCUGAAACAGAGACCACAUUUUUAUGUUUGCCUUUUUGCAGUGAAGUUUACAUUAGGGAGCUAUAUUUUCCUUAUAUUUAUUUUUAAAUCAUUUGGGCUUUCCAAUAAAAUAGCAUUCUCAUUUUCUUCCCUCUUCCCAGAUUAAUGCAUUUAUUAUUUUAAUGCAUGAAGGGGUCCACGUGGCGCUAUGGUUGGUGGCUGGGAUGCUCUGGAGUGGUGCGCUUGGAAAACAAUGUGUUAUUUGCACUUGAGAAAAUACUUUGUUGGCUAAGUGUCUAGGCACUGAAACAGUAACAGUUCAUCAAAAGACAGUUAUCCCAGAUACGCUUCCAAGAGUGGCAAUCAGUUUUCCUAAAGAGUCAAAGAAAAGAGUGAGAAUUGUGGGAAGUGGGAGACUAGAAGGACAGACUCAUUUGGAAACAGGAAGUGGUUCAAGGAACUUAGGAUUUGGAAUAUAGGAAAAGAAAUGGGGAAACAUACCCAUGCCUUCUCUUCUCUGUAGACAUCCAAUUUGAACCUACUCCAGAUUAGUAGGAAGUAAAAUCAUUAUCUGAUGUUCUGUGGCCACAUGGAAAAUACAUUGGUAGUUGCAACCAGACUAGAGUCAACAUUGAGAAACCAAUAGAACCACUAACUUGGGCUGGUGAGGCACAGCUACUGGUCAAAACCUGCCCAGGAGGCCCAGUACCACUCACAGUCAGGAUCGGGGUCAUGGUAGGGGAAGGUCAGCUAGCUUACUGCAGCCCAUCUCUGAUGGGGAGGUGAGGACUUCCAGCCCUGGGCUGCUCAUUCACCUCCCCUCUGGAGCAGUAAACAGGGAAGUAGCAAGAAGCUAAGCUCCUUUUGUUAGGCAUUGUUAAUUCCUCCAAGGUGACCAUUGAUGUAUUUUUUAUUCAGUAACUUAGCAUAUAUGUGUGUGCACAAUUAAUAGUUAUAUAUAAUAAAAGUGAAUAUAUUAAAAUUUAAAAAAAUAAAUUAUGAUCAUUGCACAAUUCUGUGACUAUACUACAAACCAUUAAAAUGUAUACUUUAAAUGGGUGUUUUUUAUGUUAUUUAUGUGAUUAUGUCUCAAUAAAGAUGUUUUAAAACCAUAAA
RNAcentral lists this long non-coding RNA (2706 nucleotides) under Homo sapiens (human). RNAcentral's name for it is "long independently transcribed non-coding RNA 1116, transcript variant 2 (LINC01116)". The record is from RNAcentral. Lineage: Eukaryota; Metazoa; Chordata; Mammalia; Primates; Hominidae.